AGUCUGUCCUGAUGCUGGUUGCUAACCAGCAUACAGAGAAGACACCAGAGGAAACACUCUCCAAGCUAGUAAAGAGUGAGCUGCGAAGCUCACUAUAGCGAGGAGGGGAAAAUUAACCUGG
This 121-nucleotide ribozyme is filed under the name unclassified sequences. RNAcentral's name for it is "Hairpin ribozyme 1 from viruses-like metatranscriptomes". It matches the Rfam family "Hairpin ribozyme 1 from viruses-like metatranscriptomes". The record is from Rfam by way of RNAcentral.